UACGUAGGCAGCAAGCGUUGUUCGGAAUUACUGGGCGUAAAGCGCACGUAGGCGGCUUUGUAAGUUAGAGGUGAAAGCCCGGGGCUCAACUCCGGAAUUGCCUUUAAGACUGCAUCGCUAGAAUUGUGGAGAGGUAAGUGGAAUUCCGAGUGUAGAGGUGAAAUUCGUAGAUAUUCGGAAGAACACCAAUGGCGAAGGCGACUUACUGGACACAUAUUGACGCUGAGGUGCGAAAGCGUGGGGAGCAAACAGG
RNAcentral lists this ribosomal RNA (253 nucleotides) under uncultured bacterium. RNAcentral describes it as "partial 16S ribosomal RNA". It matches the Rfam family "Bacterial small subunit ribosomal RNA", at positions 524 to 776 of the family's 1533-position model. The record is from RNAcentral.